UACGUAGGGGGCUAGCGUUGUCCGGAAUCAUUGGGCGUAAAGAGCGUGUAGGCGGCCCGGUAAGUCCGCUGUGAAAGUCGGGGGCUCAACCCUCGGAUGCCGGUGGAUACUGUCGGGCUCGAGUACGGAAGAGGCGAGUGGAAUUCCUGGUGUAGCGGUGAAAUGCGCAGAUAUCAGGAGGAACACCUAUUGCGAAGGCAGACUCGCUGGGACGUUACUGACGCUGAGGCGCGAAAGCCAGGGGAGCGAACGGG
Molecule: ribosomal RNA, 254 nt
Filed under: uncultured bacterium
Lineage: Bacteria
Description: partial 16S ribosomal RNA
Rfam family: Bacterial small subunit ribosomal RNA
Source: RNAcentral